GCUUUGAAGUGGUUUCGGCCCACUUACUCUAAAUCUGCAGGACUGAGAAGUUCUUCUGUGCCCAGAUGUACUCAUGGAGCAAGCAGCAGAAUGAAACUUUCCUUCCCAAGUGGGUCAAGCUUUUUUCUGUCCAUUCCACCUCUCUCUAAUCUCUCCCUCUCCUCACCUGGAGUCUUAGAGUCAAUUUAAAACUGGCAGGGGCUUUGGAGAUCAUGGAGUCUAACCCUCUCAUUUUACAGAUGAAGAAACUGAAGCCCAAAGAAGGUAGUAACUUGCCCAAGGGCACACAGGUUCAGUGUUCAGCCUACAGAGUUUAAGCCAUAGAACGAAGAUUGUUUCCAUCUGGAAAAAAGAAAAUCUCACAGCUUUCAAGCAAAGAGGAAGGAACGUCAAGAGUUAUUUUCAUCUCCAUAGGCGAUAGAGGGGCAAGGGAAAGAGACUUCAUCAAGAGAAGAUGAGGUAGGUGGUAGCAAGGUGGCUCAGUGGAAUGAGAACCAGGUAUAGAUAUGAGAGGUCCUGGGUUCAAAUUUGAUCUCAGAUACUUCCUAGUUCUAUGACCCUGGAAAAGUCACUUAAUUCCCAUUGCCUAGCCCUUAUCACUCUUCUGUCUUAGAACCAAUAACUAGUAUUGGUUCUAAAACAGAAAAGGUAUGUAGGAGAGGGAGAGGGAGAGAGAGACACACACACACACACACACACACACAGAGAGAGAGAGAGAGAGAGAGAGAGAGAGAGAGAGAGAGAGAGAGAGAGGAUGAAUAAGAAGGGACUUUAGGUUUUUC
RNAcentral lists this long non-coding RNA (782 nucleotides) under Monodelphis domestica (gray short-tailed opossum). RNAcentral describes it as "lncRNA (ENSMODG00000043347.1)". The record is from RNAcentral. Lineage: Eukaryota; Metazoa; Chordata; Mammalia; Didelphimorphia; Didelphidae.